GUGGGGAAUCUUCCACAAUGGACGAAAGUCUGAUGGAGCAACGCCGCGUGAGUGAAGAAGGGUUUCGGCUCGUAAAGCUCUGUUGUCGGGGACGAAUGUGCAGUAUUUGAAUAAAGUACUGUAAUGACGGUACCUGACGAGGAAGCCACGGCUAACUACGUGCCAGCAGCCGCGGUAAUACGUAGGUGGCAAGCGUUGUCCGGAAUUAUUGGGCGUAAAGGGAGCGCAGGCGGGAAGGUAAGUCGGUCUUAAAAGUGCGGGGCUCAACCCCGUGAUGGGAUCGAAACUAUCUUUCUUGAGUGCAGGAGAGGAAAGUGGAAUUCCUAGUGUAGCGGUGAAAUGCGUAGAUAUUAGGAGGAACACCAGUGGCGAAGGCGACUUUCUGGACUGUAACUGACGCUGAGGCGCGAAAGCUAGGGGAGCGAACGGGAUUAGAUACCCUAGUAGUCC
This 450-nucleotide ribosomal RNA is filed under the name uncultured bacterium. RNAcentral describes it as "partial 16S ribosomal RNA". It matches the Rfam family "Bacterial small subunit ribosomal RNA", at positions 354 to 796 of the family's 1533-position model. The record is from RNAcentral.